RNAcentral lists this ribosomal RNA (320 nucleotides) under Fusarium sp. MSX 44957. RNAcentral's name for it is "eukaryotic LSU rRNA". It matches the Rfam family "Eukaryotic large subunit ribosomal RNA", at positions 331 to 670 of the family's 3401-position model. The record is from RNAcentral. Lineage: Eukaryota; Fungi; Ascomycota; Sordariomycetes; Hypocreales; Nectriaceae.
AGACCGAUAGCGAACAAGUAGAGUGAUCGAAAGAUGAAAAGCACUUUGAAAAGAGAGUUAAAAAGUACGUGAAAUUGUUGAAAGGGAAGCGUUUAUGACCAGACUUGGACUUGGUUAAUCAUCUGGGGUUCUCCCCAGUGCACUUUUCCAGUUCAGGCCAGCAUCAGUUUUCGCCGGGGGAUAAAGGCAGCGGGAAUGUGGCUCUCUUCGGGGAGUGUUAUAGCCCGUUGUGUAAUACCCUGGUGGGGACUGAGGUUCGCGCUUCUGCAAGGAUGCUGGCGUAAUGGUCAUCAACGACCCGUCUUGAAACACGGACCAAG